AGAAUUCCCGCGCAAGCGCACUAAAAUCGAUACACACUGAAAUCGAUACAUAUCGAAAUCGUUGCACGCACAAUAAUUCAACUUCAAACAAUUAAUGCAAGAAGAAUCACAAAAUGGACGCCUUUCUUGAUCCGCUUCUGUUUAAUUGGUAUAAAAAUUUAUUUAUAUUGAUAAAUAAUAGAAUUUAGUAUAAUACCUAUUGUAAUAGCUAUAUGUAAGCUAUAUUGUAAUCAGUACACACAAAGUAAAACACACGAUGAAAUAGUAGAUUCAUUACUUUAACUACCAAGCCACUUUUAGGGCGCAUUGCCUACUGUAUCAAUGAUUAAGCAUCUUUGAAAAGCAUUCCUCAAGGUAUAAAUACAACAAUGCGCUGAUUCUCACCAAAUAUUGAAGAGAAAGAAUGAUCUCUUUCUUUUUGGCAUAAGGAGUGAGAAGAAAGCAAGAAAAUGUCAUUUAGGGAAAUAUAUCAAUAUGAAAAAUGCUCCAUGAGAAACGAGAGGCAGUCAGCGUGAAAAUUCUUCGUGAGGAUAUAUCGCCGUAUAGGAGGACAGCGAUAAAACAUGAAGCAAGAUAACAUUUCAGGUAAGUGCGUAGUAGAUAGA
This is a non-coding RNA of Linepithema humile (Argentine ant), 605 nucleotides long. The record is from RefSeq and is a predicted model, not a curated record. Lineage: Eukaryota; Metazoa; Arthropoda; Insecta; Hymenoptera; Formicidae.